UUACAGUCACAGGCUGAGGGAGCUGCCCAGGGCCUUGUCUGCAUCCUGUCCAGUCAUUUUUGUCGCAGGUGAGGAACCACAAGCCCCAUCUCACGCACCUUAGCGGCCGAGCCGAGCAGAGCACCCCCACACACACACUCCCCGCACAGUGCUCUCUCAUGUGCCCCCUGGGGCCUGCUGCGCUGCCGUUCUUGGAGAGGGAAGCAGGUUGUCCACAUUAGGAGACGUGCCGUUCAGGGAGGCGGUGAGGGGCUGUCUUCCACUUUAAGCCACACCAGGCCGUGCAAGCAGGGUCCCCACAACCACGAGGCAACCACCCUCAGCACUCAGCACACACAUUCAGGCCUCGGCAAGUCCCUACAGUGUCACCUCAUCCAGAUCCUCCCACCAAUCCCCGGAGGCUAGCGGGGCGGGCGGGGAAGCUGCGCCGCCGAGUGCGAUUCCCUGGGAGCUACUUACUGAAGAGCUAUUUAAUCUACUCAGCCCCGACAUGUAAGUGGCCUCAGGGAUCCCCAACUUGUUUCCAGCAGGGAUCUUUUUAUUAUCACCCCAUGUUCCCUAUGCUGUGAAAGAUUUCAUCUACUGUGCUGCAAGUGAUACAUAAAUUCACGUGUUCUCCUGUAGUUUAUUAAUUGGAGACCAACAUCAUGGCCAAAUGAAGUUUCUGUUCAGCAGGGGAUAAAUGGUGUUCCCUAGCUGAGGGGCUAAGAUUCCUGCCGAAAGCAAAGAAAGGUGCCAUUUUGGUUGGCCUGAGAUGCCUAAUUGGAGCUCCAUGAACAGUCUCUGGAGGGCUUCAUAAAAUGACAAAAUCCCACAGACUCCUGUUAAGGUGACUGCCCUCCCAGGAGGUUCAGGGCCCCCAGGGGGAGAGCCACGGGCUCUGAUCCCACCACGGUGGUCUAAGCCCCUAAGACAAUGGUUGGCAAGGACCCAAGGAGGCAGCAGUGCAGGAGAGGAAGGGACCAAAUAGCUGGUGCUGGGAACAGAGCUUCGAGCCUGUGCCCAAGACAGAGACUACCCACUCUGACGAGCUGGGGCCCCUUCCCCUGCUAACAGCCCCAAAAUUCAUAGGGGCCCUCAGAAUGCCACCUUCCUGGACCUCUGGACACAGAGCCCAAAGCUCUGCCCCUGCCCUAAGACACUCAGAAUCUAAGGGUGUCCCUCUCUACCGGUAAGGACACGUUCCUAGAAAGGCAAGAAGUACAGGACCCUCCUAAGGGGCCUCCUGGAGAACACACCCAACAGGCCUGCAGUUCUGGCCAUACCAGGCCCAUGGAGCCAUGUGACACUGAGGAGCCACACUUCCCAUCUGAGAUACUCAGUGCUGGCUCACUCAAGACCCUCACUGAUGGGCCUUGAGAGAGACUGACCCUAAACUGAUCUGAGCAUGAGCUAGGUUUAUUCAGUUAGAGACACUUAGGGGCUGGCCCAGUGACAUAGUGGUUAAGUGCACGGGCUCCGCUUUGGGGUUUGUGGGUUCAGAUUCUGGGCGCAGACCUACACACUGCUCAUCAAGCCAUGCUGAGGCAGCAUCCCACAUACAAAGUAGAGGAAGAUUGGCAAGAUAUGUUACCUCAGGUCCAAUCUUCCUCACCAAAAAAAAAAAGAGAGAAAUACUUGGCUUUGCUCUAAAUCCCUGGUAUUGUGGAAAGAUUACUUGGCUUAGAGUCAAAAGGACAUGGUUUGACUUUCAAUUCAUGAAGUUAUCUCUGCUACUUUUUCACUUAAAACUCUCAUGUGAAAGACUUGAAAAUAAAACAAAACCUAUAAGCUUCCAUUAAAAGUCUAUUUAGCUAUAGUAGAUAUUAAUAAGGGGGAAAAUGGAAUGAAUGGCAACAAACUAGAAAAAAUAGAGAAAAAAACAACAGUUUAAUAAAGAAUAAGAUAAGUAAAGGAAAAUCAAGUAUAAUCAGUCAAUUCACCAAAGUUGAUUAAACUGAAUUCACCCAAUAAAAGAUAAAGACUGUCAGAGUUAAAAAUAGAAAUCCAUGUAUAUGCUGCUUAGAGGAAAAAUACAUAAAGUGACAAAGAAAUAUUGGAAAUAAAAUGCCAAAAAGAUAUCAGAAAAAUGCCAACAAGCAGAAAGGAGGAAGAACAGAGGUAAGGAGAAAAUUAGGGCUCAAAACACUAAACAGGAUCAAAAAGGACAUUGUGUAUGAUAAAAAUAUACAAUUAAGAACAUAAUAUUCAUAAAUAACAAAUAUUCAAUUAAGAAAUAUAAUAUUCAUUAAACAUAGAUGCCAAAAUCAUAAGGCAAAAAACCAAACUAUAGAAAUGCAAAUAGAAUAAAUACAGUGUGGGAGGGAUACUUUGAGUCACCUGUUUCAAAAUUGGACAUAUCUAAUAAGCAAAAAGUCCAUAAAUGCAUAGAUCCAGUGAUUGAUACAACUAAUAACCUGGGGUGACAAAUACAUAGAAAGCCUGACAUUUUCCAAAUGGAAAAUAUACCUUUUGUUUGUAUGUCCAUGAAACAUUUACAGAAAUAGUCAAGUACAUUGCCACAGAGAAAAUCUUAUUAAAUCUUUAGGAAUAAUAAAAGAGUGAAAAUUUUAAAUAUGGAAUAUUUUAAAUGUGGAAAGUAAGAAACACCCCUAGAAACUCCUUAAAGAAGAAAUUAAAAUGGAAAUUACUGCCUGGAAACUAAUGAAAAGGAGAACAUUUCAUACUAAAAGUUACAGGACACAGUGAAAGCAGGGCUUACAGGAAAAUGUAUAGGUAUAAAUGUCUUCAUUAUUUUAAAAUGUCUAAAAAUGAAGGACCUGUACCAAUCUUAAAUUAGAAAAAGAACAGCAAAAUACUAAACCAAGAGAAGUCAGAAGAGAGAAUUAGUACAGAUAAGAGCUGAAACAAGUGACACAGAAAACAAAUUUCCCUCCCCAAAUAGCUCAAAGGAAAAACAAACACAAGAGAUGGCACUUAGAAAAGACAAACGAUAAAGUCUCGCAGCCCCUGGCAGGGCAGGGCAGGGAGAAAGCAGGCAGUUCAGAGGAGGAGGAAUAAGAAAGAUGACAUAACCACACACCUGGUAGAAAUUUAAAGAAUCCUAAGAAACAGGAACAAGUAAAUUUGAACAAUUUAAAGGAAAUGGAUGAUUUCUUUGCAAAACUGAAGCCACCACGUUACACCAACAACUUAAAGAAACCAAUUAUCAUGGACGAGAUUGGAAAGCAGAGCAGUGGUCUACCAGGACAAAGGCGCCGGAACCACAGAGGCCCACAGCUGAGUUUUAUCGGACCUGUAUGUUCUUAGUACCCACUUCUCCCAGACUGAAUGUGUACACAAAUGACCUGGGGCUCUUGUCAAAAUGCAGAUGGAGAUUCAGCAGAUCUUGGGUGGGGCCCGAGACUCUGCAUUUCUAACGAGCUCCCAGAUGAGGCGGGUGGUGGUGGUUCAUGGACCCCACGUUGAGUAGCAAGGAUUUAACUAUUUCAGGCAGUAGGGAAAAAAGAUAUAAAGUUCCCCAGUUCAUUUUACGAAGCCAGCAUAACUUAAAUACCAAAAUCAGACAAAGCUAAUUCCAACAACAAUAACACAUUCUUAACCUCAAUUUCAUUUAUAAAUAUAGAUGCAAACUCUAAAUAACAUAUUAGCAAAUAGACUCUGGCAUGAAAUAAAAGAAUUAGAAAGUGCUUCAACAUGAAGAAACCUAGCAAUAUGACUCUGUAUAUUGAUAAACUGGGAAAACCAUAAGCAUAUUAAUAGAUGCUAAAAGCAGCCAUUCCUAAUAAAAAACUUUAAGUAAAAUAGGAAUAGAUGGAAAAUAUGUAAACAAAGCGAAGGAUAUUUAUUUUAAAACAACAAAUAUUUUCAAUAUCAAAACACUAAAAAUAUUUCAUUAAAAUGAAGACGACGAAGGGACGCACACUAGCACCAUUAUUAUUUAACAUUGUUUCAGGGCAGUAGCUCUCAACCCCAGAUGCCCAUUAGCAUCGUCUGGAAAGCUUUUCAAAAAUACGUACCAAUUCAAUUCCCGAGCCUAGGGGCCUGGCACUAGAAUUUUAUAAAAAGCUUUCUGGCUGAUGUUCAUGUACAGCCUGGGGUGAGUACCACUGUCUUAGAGGCUUCAGCAAAUGCAACAUGUAAAGAAACAAACAGCAGGUAUAAUCAUUGGGAAAGAAGUAGGACUGCCACAUGAAAUACAGAACACACACUUAAACUUGAUUUUCAAAUGAACAGUGAAUAAUUUUUUAAAUAAGUAUGUCCCAUGCAACAUUUGGGACAUACACAACGAAUAAUUUUUUAGGAUAAGUAUCUGAAAUUCAUAUUUAACUGGGUAUUCUGUAUUUUUGUUUGCUGUAUCUGGCAAUAAUGAAAGAAGAGAUAGCAAUUAGCUCUGUGUGCUGACACUAUAAUUGUCUACCUCAAAAACACAAGAGACUGUAUUAAAAAACUUUGAGAGUUAAUAAUAUCUGGUAAGGAGGCUAGAUACCAGAUAUAUUACAACAAUAAAUGGCUUUUUUAAAACUAACAAUAAGUUCCUAGAAAUACAAAUAGGAAUAAGUCUUCCAUUUAUAAUAGUGGCAAAAAAACCUAUGAGAUAUUUAGGAAUAAAUUUAAUAUAAGAGACAUAAGACCCAUAAAAGAAAACCUAUAAUACCCUACUAAAAGACAGAAAAUAAUUUACAAACAAAUGGAAAGUUAUAGUUGUUCUUAGAUAGAAAUACUUAGUAUCAUAAAAAAUGUAAGAUUUCCUAAAUGUAAUAUGUAAAUUUCAUUCAAUUUCAACUAGAAUCUUAACAGACAUUUUCUUGGAAUUGCAUAAAACUAUCUUAAAGUUCAUAUAGAGAAAUAAAUGCAUAAAAUUGUAAAAUUUCCCAAAUGUAAAUUUCAUUCAAUUCCAACUAGAAUCUUAACAGGUUUUCUUGGAAUUGUAUAAAAUUAUCUUAAAAUUCAUAUAGAGAAAUAAAUGUCUGAAAAUAGCUAAGAAAACUGAAAAGAACAAUGGAGUGGGACUUGCCUUACUAGCUAUCAGGGAAUUCUAUAAAGCCACAAAAAAAUCAAAUCAACAUAAUAUUAGUAUAAAAAUAGACGAAAAUUAAUGGAAAUAUCUAGAACAUCUAGAAUUAAAUACCAGUGUAUUUGAGAAAUUAGUAUAUGACAAGUGUGAUUGUUCAAUUCAGUAGGAAAAGCCUGGACUAUUCAAUAAAUGAGUCUGGAAAGAGAGUACCCAAAAUACAAAUAAAGCACAUAUUACAAUAUAUAAAAAUAAACUCCUGGAAGUAAAGACUUAAAUGCAAAAAAUAAAAAUCUUGCAAGAAAAUCCAAGAGAGUAAAUUUAUCACCCAGAGAGAUCGGAAAGACCUUCCACAAGUCCAGAAAUUAUAAAAGCAAAUACAGACAAAUUUACUAUUUAAACUAUAAAAACUUUUGUAUGACAAAGGUAACAUGAACAAAGUCAACAGACAACAGAUGUGGACAAAAAUUUGUAACAUGAAUGACAAAGGACUAACUUUUAAAAUAUACAAAAAUAUCUUACAAACUGGUAAGGUGAAUAGCUCCAAAGAAAAAGUGAGCAAAAUAUAUGAAUAUACAAUCCACAGAAGAGCAAGUCCAAACCCAUGAAACGAUGCUCAAAUUCUCUAGUAAUUGGGGAAUAUAAAUUACUUAGGAGAUAACAUUUUAUACCCAUCAGAUUCACAAAACAUAGAACUAUAACAUCUAACACUGGUAGAGAUGAGGGAAAAGGGAAUUUUCAUACAUUGCUGAUGGAAAUGGCAUUGCCACAGAUUUUUUGGCAGAUAAUAGAGCAACAGCUCUUAAUUUUAUAAGACCAUUACUAUACUAAGCAACAAUUCGACUCCUGGCAGCCUAUCCCAUCAGCAGGGAUGGGUUAGUGCCCCCAUGUAGGGACAUAUAGGCAAUAUUUACUGCAGCUUUGCCUUAGUGGUCAAGAGCGGGAAACAAAGUAAACCCCUAUUAAAAGGAGAUGGCUGAGUAAAGGGUGGUCCUCCAUAGCAGUGAAUUAUUAUAUAGCCAUUAAAAAGAAUAAGUUAAUGAAAAAAAUGUUCAUGGCAGCACUGUCCUUAAGAACCCUAAAGACUAUCGGGAGUAGAAAGGAUCAAUGGAUUCUGGUAUAUUCACACAGUGAGAUAUACAGUAACCAGAAUGAACAAACUACAGCUACAUGCAACAACAUUAUGAAGGUCAUCAAUAUAAUGUUGCACAGAAGAAUAUGUACUGAAAAGUUCCAUUUAUAUAAGGCACAAAACAAGCUAAAAAAUCUGUGCUGUUACAAGUCAGGAUGAAGGUUACCCUCGGGCAGGGUGGAGGGUCGGGGGAAGGUAAAUUGAAGGAGGCAUGGGGGCGGUCUGGGACACUGGUAAUGUUCUGUUUCCUGAUCUGGGUACUGCUUACAUGGGUGUAUUCACUGUGAAAAUUCACCAAGCAGUACACUCACGAUUUGUGCAUUCAAAAAAGAAAAAUUAGAGUCAUUAUAGCUUGCAGGGAUUUCAGCGAGAUAUUGUUGGUUGAGAAACGCAGAAUGCAGGAAAUUAUGUUUAAUAUAAUCCCAUUUUUAUGCAGCACACAACAAUGAAACCACCUUGAUGAUGUGUUAGUGUGUAUGUCGAUAUAUGAGGACAUACAUAGGUCUGUGUAGGUUUAUAUGGGACAGAUGAAAUGGGGAAGGCCAUAGAGUGAGUUAACAUGGCUUCCCUAGGUCAAGGAGAAGGGAUGAUCACGUGAGGGCCACGCUUAUGUUGGGGGAAGAAAGGUGAAAGGGAAAAAAGUGUGCCAGAAACAAAGAGCGAAGUAAAAAAGCAGAGGAGGGAGUGCUCGACUAAGGGGGGCAUUUAUCUCCGGAAUCCAGGGCUGCGGUGGUAAUUCCCACACGCUGGGAGCAGAUGAGGCUUCGGGCUUUGGGAGGUAGGGAGUUGGAACUAAGAACUCUGCAUAAAGCCAAGACCCUGAAAGGACUAGUCUAUUUAUGAAACGAUUUAAAAACAAGAGAGACCACAGGACACAGGACUUUGGGUGGGAAAACAAGAAAAGCUCUCCAAGAAUUCAAAACCACAGGACCACAAUUCACACUGCUUUUGCUCUACCCACGUAGUUCAGAAACUCCAGACUAAAAAGUAACAGAAGAAUUAUUCCUCAAGCAGUGAUACCCCUGAGGCACAAGGCAGAAGCAAACAAAAUACUUCUCUGGAGAGAUGCUCCCACAUCCCAAAUAUCAUGGGAUUUUCACAGGAAAAAAUACAAGCCCUGCUGAUGAUUUCACUAUAAAAAAUGACAACGCCCAUAAGUGAAUGAUCCCAACUGAUCAAGAGUCCACACACACGAUCAACAUGCCGUUAUACCCCCUUGAACUCCAAAUACGGCGAGACAACCAGAAAGAGAUUAUAAAAGAAAUACGUGUAAAAUGACUACAGACGAGAAAGGAAGCAAUCAAAUCCUUAGAACUAAACCCUAUGAAAGAAGAGCAGGCAGAACUGAAAAAAAUAAAAUAGAACCAAAAAAUCCCAUAAUGCAUCUUGAAAUAAAUCUUUUAAAAAAGACUAUAAGAAUGAUAAUGAGAAAUUCCUUAUUAAAAGACAUUAGAGAAGACUAAAAUAAUUGAAAAAAUACACCAUGUUCAUAGAUAGGAAGACUCAAUAUCGUAAAGAUGGCAAUUCUCUCUAAUCUAUAAAUUUAAUGCAGUUCCCAUCAAAAUCCAACAGGGGAUUUCACAGAAUUGACAAGGUGAUCCUAAAAUGUGUACAGAGGACUAAAGGAUCAAAGAAAUUCUGAAGAAUACAGGUGGGGGAGGGGGAGGGCCUCAUAAUACCAGAUGUCAAGACUGCGAUAAGCUGCAGUAUUUCAUACACGCAGUGCUCAUGAGAGGAUAGACCAAAGAGACACCGGAUCAUAACAGAGCGCCUAGAAACAGAGCUCGCUGUGUGACAGAGGUGGCGUUCCAAAUUAGUGAGAAAGAAUGAACCAGUCAAUAAAUGGUGCCUCCACAUCACACCCCCAAGUCAUCUCCAGUGGAUGAAAGAGCCAAAUGCUGUUGAAAAGCAAAACUUUAACUACUUUUGGAGAAGACAGUCACCUGUGGUAUCUCGUUACCUGUGGUAUUUCUGUUCUAUGUAAUUGCUGUGACCACUGAAUUAGCAAAUGCUGAAGCAUUGGUCCUGGGGAAUACAGAGUUAGGUCCCUGCAAGCCUCUGGUCACAGCAUUUUCAUCAAUGGAUCAAUAACAUAACCUUGUUUUAUGUAUUUCUGUUUAAAGACACCACAUUUAGUAUAUAUUGUUGAUUCAUUAACACGGAACUCAGCCAGCAGCAGUGUAACUAACGAAGCCUGAAGGAGGCUUAUCCAACGUGUGUUUUCUCCAGGAGGCACCUCAUAGCCUUCUUGCACUGAGGAACACUAGACAGCACUCCAGCACUAUGCUUGGAGCCAUUUUAAACAGCAAAAUCACCCACAAAAAGCACAAAAAUGCAAAAAAUGUGGCACUGAAUAAACGGUGAGAAGGACACUUGAUUACCAUACAAGACCUGGAGGAAGGCAGAGCGGCGACAGGUUUGACCUCAGCUGGGAACAUGUGCGACUCAAAAUUUUCAACAUUUUGUACAUAGCCACCAUGAAUAUUGAUUUUAGGGUUACAAAUAAAUUUUAGUGAGUAGGUGAAUUUGCAAGUAUGGAAUCUGUGCAUAAUAAGGAUUGACUGUAUCUUUUUAAUAUUUCCAGGGUUGGAAAGGAUAUUUCUGUUUUUAGACAAGAUGCAAAAAGCACAAAUUAUAAAGGAAAAGACUGACAAACUGGAUAAAUUGAAAUUUAAAACUUCUCCUUGAAAAUACAUGUCAGAAGAAAGUGAAAAAUCAAGUCACAGACUGAGAGAAGAUAUCUGCUUCCCAAACAACAGAGGAUUAUAUCAAGAAGAGUUUUACAGUUCCUAGAAACCAGUACGAAAAAGACAAAUGGCUUUUAGAAAAUAAGCAAAGGAUAAGAACAAGGAUUUUCUUAGAAGAAAACAGACUGGCCAACAAACUAAUAAAUGUAAAAUUUAAGUGUGAUUAAGCACAACUCAUGUGUCAGGCAGAAGUUUUACAACAUUAAAUGACAAUCUAGUAAAAUCAAAAUAUUUAUGGAUACAACUUCUAACAAAGGCAUAUAAUUAAUUCCAGAGAUUAGAAGCCCAAGGAAGAAAAUGAGAGUUCCAGAAAGAAACCCUGAGAGUAAAUAACCAAAAGACAUUCAGGAAGCAACAAAAAAAAGACUCAUCCAGUACUGCCAGGGAUUGGACAUUUCUUAAAACCACUAUCCCAGGAUUAUCCGUGGAUUUUCAUGAGAUAAUGGGACAGAAGCUCUGUAGAUAUUAGGUUGUACACAUUCAGUGCACUUUAAGAUUCUGUUCUUCUGGAACCACUGUCAGUACCAAAUUCUCCAUCAGUCAGGGUUCAACCAGAGGCCAAACCAGUAGAUGUAUAUACCUAAAACCCGUAGAAGUGGCUUAUGCAAGUACGGGAGUAAGGCUGUAGACGCCAUACCUGAUGCUGGGGCUCAAAGUCCACAGGGCAGGCGGUCAGGAGGGGAAGACCAGGAGCAGGUGCAAACCCACGAGCGAAGCUGGCAUCCCACAAGGACAGACUGAAGCCUGAGUCCAUUCUUAUCCGGUCUGGCCUUGUGAUGAGGUCAUCGUGCAGAAGCCAGGGCCCUUUAUCACAGAGCUAAACACAUACACCUGGCCCAGGAAUCACCUCAUGGAGCUAAACACACAUACCUGGCCCAGGAAUUGCCUCGUGGAGCUAAACACACACACCUGGCUCAGGAAUCAGAGACACUGACAGAGGAUCCAGGGCAACAUAGAGCAAUUUCAGACCUAGCCACCUCUUCACACCAAGGUGAAUCAGCAACUCAGCAACAGCAUGUGGGAGCUACACAGUGGCUACUACUUCCCUUUGCCUUCCAAAUCUCUGAAGAAUCUCCCUUGUGGUCUACCUUAACUAGAAACAUAGAAGAAAGAGAAUUCUGAGAGAGCUAGUUCAGCCUAGCCAAACUGACACAUUACAAAGCCAUCACAUUCUUUAAUGGUUGUACGUGUCUUCAGACCCUCCUUUAUGUUCUUUUGUUUUGUUUUGUUUU
This 10065-nucleotide long non-coding RNA is filed under the name Equus caballus (horse). Its description in RNAcentral is "lncRNA (ENSECAG00000057628.1)". Lineage: Eukaryota; Metazoa; Chordata; Mammalia; Perissodactyla; Equidae. The record is from RNAcentral.